CUGUAUUGAGAUAGAAAACUUGGGAGAAAUUGUGGAAACAUAAUCUCACCUUUCGUGAAAUGGUAUUCAUGUUUGAAUUUGACAAAUACAUUUACACAUGUGCAUUUUACUAUACAAAACAUAUAGUCAACAGUUUGGCGAACAGUUGCGGGCAUUUGUAUUCGUAAGCAUUUUGUUAAGCACGCUAAAAAUCACCACACUGGGUGUUUGGCAUUCUUAGAGAAAUUCUAUAAACAUAUUUUUGAGUUUCUCCAAAUUUCGGCUGAAAAAUGAAGAAUUAUUCAAAUAAUGUGUUUUUCUCCUGAUUAUUUCUCAUCUUUGUGUUGAAAAAUGCUGAGAUAUUUAUAACAUUUUAUUUAAGGCUGAGUCAAAUUUACGCAGUCUCUGAGUUGAUGUUUUCAAGCGUGCAUUUGUCAUGAUUGUUUUGCUAGUGAAAAGAAAAGAAAAGAAAAAAACGGUCAGUGGCCAGAAAGUAUACUUUUCCCGGAAUAUAUUCCGGAUUUGAGCUGCGGUCUAUGUAAUAAAGCGAUUAUUUGCCCCAGCAGUGCCGGAACCUCUUCGUGGGAAUCCGCUUUCAGUACCGAAAGAUCGAAUUCUAUCGUAAUCCAUUGGAUUUCUUUUUCAACGAUCAUGGAAAACGGGAAGCAAUAUUUGGAUAGCUGCAAAAUAUAUUCGCAACAGGAGGAUGAAUCCAGCCGUUCUAUAAGGAGUUUGGUAGAGAAAACUACGUUCGAUUGCACCUUGGUAUUCCUUCACCAUACACAAAGACUCUGUGUGUCUCCGCUACGAUGUGUUUUGAUACAAAAUAUUAAGCAAUAAUUGGAAUGUGAAGUUGUAAAGGCGUUUCAGUAUAAUGAAUAAAUAGAUUGUGAAUUUA
Aedes aegypti (yellow fever mosquito) is the source of this 877-nucleotide long non-coding RNA. RefSeq lists it as uncharacterized. The record is from RefSeq and is a predicted model, not a curated record. NCBI's taxonomy places the organism in Eukaryota, Metazoa, Arthropoda, Insecta, Diptera, Culicidae. The transcript has 2 exons.